AUUGAACGCUGGCGGCAGGCCUAACACAUGCAAGUCGAGCGGCAGCUGGGUGCUUGCUUCUGCUCCGGUGGCGGACGGGUGAGUACUGGCUCGGAAUUUGCCUGGUAGUCGGGGAUAACGUUCGGAAACGGGCGCUAAUACUGCAUACGUCCUGCGGGUGCAAGUGGGGUAUCUUCGGACUUCACGCUAUCUGAUGUGCCUAGACCUGAUUAGCUAGUUGGUGGGGGAAAUGCCUACGAAGGCGGCGUUCCGUAACUGGUCUGUGAGGGUGGUCAGUUACACUGGAACAGAGCCACGUUCCCUACUCCUGGAGUAGGCAGCAGUGCGGAAUAUUGGACGAUGGGCGGGUGCCUAAUCCAGCCAUACGGCGUGUGUGAAGAAGGUCUUCGGACUGGAAAGCACUGUAAGUAGUGUGGAAGGGCAGUAAGUUGAUACCUUGCUGUUUUGACAUUACCAACAGAAUAAGCACCGGCUAACGUCGUG
RNAcentral lists this ribosomal RNA (483 nucleotides) under uncultured bacterium. Its description in RNAcentral is "partial 16S ribosomal RNA". It matches the Rfam family "Bacterial small subunit ribosomal RNA", at positions 30 to 507 of the family's 1533-position model. The record is from RNAcentral.